UACGUAGGGUGCAAGCGUUGUUCGGAAUUAUUGGGCGUAAAGGGCUCGUAGGCGGUUUGUCGCGUCGGGAGUGAAAACACUGGGCUUAACUCAGUGCUUGCUUCCGAUACGGGCAGACUAGAGGUAUGCAGGGGAGAACGGAAUUCCUGGUGUAGCGGUGAAAUGCGCAGAUAUCAGGAGGAACACCGGUGGCGAAGGCGGUUCUCUGGGCAUUACCUGACGCUGAGGAGCGAAAGUGUGGGGAGCGAACAGG
RNAcentral lists this ribosomal RNA (253 nucleotides) under uncultured bacterium. RNAcentral describes it as "partial 16S ribosomal RNA". It matches the Rfam family "Bacterial small subunit ribosomal RNA", at positions 524 to 776 of the family's 1533-position model. The record is from RNAcentral.